RNAcentral lists this ribosomal RNA (756 nucleotides) under uncultured bacterium. RNAcentral's name for it is "bacterial SSU rRNA". It matches the Rfam family "Bacterial small subunit ribosomal RNA", at positions 8 to 796 of the family's 1533-position model. The record is from RNAcentral.
AGAGUUUGAUCCUGGCUCAGAAUCAACGCUGGCGGCGCGCCUAACACUGCAAGUCGAACGAGAAAGUGGAGCAAUCCAUGAGUACAGUGGCGUACGGGUGAGUAACACGUGGAUCAUCUACCUCUUUGUGGGGAAUAACCCUGGGAAACCGGGGAUAAUACCGCAUAAGCCUGAGAAGGGAAAGCAGCAAUGCGCUGAGAGAGGAGUCCGCGGCCGAUUAGCUAGUUGGCAGGGUAAAAGCCUACCAAGGCAGAGAUCGGUAGCCGGCCUGAGAGGGCACACGGCCACACUGGCACUGAAACACGGGCCAGACUCCUACGGGAGGCAGCAGUGGGGAAUCUUGCACAAUGGGGGAAACCCUGAUGCAGCGACGCCGCGUGAGCGAUGAAGCCCCUCGGGGUGUAAAGCUCUUUCGGCAGGGAAGAUUAUGACGGUACCUGCAGAAGCAGCUGCGGCUAACUACGUGCCAGCAGCCGCGGUAAUACGUAGGCAGCAAGCGUUGUUCGGAGUUACUGGGCGUAAAGGGUGUGUAGGCGGUUGUUUAAGUUUGGUGUGAAAUCUCCCGGCUCAACUGGGAGGGUGCGCCGAAUACUGAAUGACUUCGAGUGCGGGAGAGGAUAGUGGAAUUCCUGGUGUAGCGGUGAAAUGCGUAGAUAUCAGGAGGAACACCGGUGGUGUAGACGGCUAUCUGGACCGUAACUGACGCUGAGACACGAAAGCGUGGGUAGCAAACAGGAUUAGAUACCCUAGUAGUCC